RNAcentral lists this long non-coding RNA (685 nucleotides) under Homo sapiens (human). RNAcentral describes it as "HSALNT0361504". Lineage: Eukaryota; Metazoa; Chordata; Mammalia; Primates; Hominidae. The record is from RNAcentral.
GUCCCCCAGCAGCUUCUGCUCCAGCACAGCCAGGUGGGAGAACAACACGCUCCAGAUACUCCCAAGAUCAAAUGACCAUCAGUCUUGGGCUGUGGGGGGAAAGCAGGUGGUACAGAAAAGGCUUUAUUUGGAAACUUUAUUACAGUUUUUUGAAAAGGCUGGGCAGACGGCAAAGGUGAAGAUUUGUAAGUAAAAAAGGAAGUGUUGCUGCAAACUAAAGCAAGACGCAUAUGUCUUUCUUCUGUUCAUGUUCUUAUAAGUCAAGAGAUGGGCACAACCUGGUGGCUUUCCCUAGAUGCUGAGUGAGAAGCUCUGGGCAAAUUUUCUAAAUUACACUGAAGGAGACUGUAAAGUGAAACCUAAGGAUGCUUGUUUCUCAUUGCCACAAAGUACACUCCCUUCAGGUCACAGAGCCAGAGGAGGGCUCGCCAAGCUCAACAUGCCCCAAGCUCAAGGAUUCAUCUCUCUAUCGGCAAACCUGUUCUACUGCAUGAGCUUUCCUCUGUGGGGGUCUUAGGGAAUAACAGUACCUUUCCCCAUUUUGUGGGUUGAAUUGAAAGCUAAGAGAGAGGCCUGAAACAGAUCCUUCCUUAGUGCCUUCAGAAGGUGCAUGACUCUGCUGACACCUUGAUUUUAAACUUCUGGCCUCCAGAACUGUGAAACAAUAAAUGACUGUUGUUCUAAG